RNAcentral lists this ribosomal RNA (637 nucleotides) under Micromonospora sp. Its description in RNAcentral is "bacterial SSU rRNA". It matches the Rfam family "Bacterial small subunit ribosomal RNA", at positions 356 to 1002 of the family's 1533-position model. The record is from RNAcentral. Lineage: Bacteria; Bacillati; Actinomycetota; Actinomycetes; Micromonosporales; Micromonosporaceae.
GGGGAAUAUUGCACAAUGGGCGGAAGCCUGAUGCAGCGACGCCGCGUGAGGGAUGACGGCCUUCGGGUUGUAAACCUCUUUCAGCAGGGACGAAGCGCAAGUGACGGUACCUGCAGAAGAAGCGCCGGCCAACUACGUGCCAGCAGCCGCGGUAAGACGUAGGGCGCGAGCGUUGUCCGGAUUUAUUGGGCGUAAAGAGCUCGUAGGCGGCUUGUCGCGUCGACUGUGAAAACCCGCGGCUCAACUGCGGGCCUGCAGUCGAUACGGGCAGGCUAGAGUUCGGUAGGGGAGACUGGAAUUCCUGGUGUAGCGGUGAAAUGCGCAGAUAUCAGGAGGAACACCGGUGGCGAAGGCGGGUCUCUGGGCCGAUACUGACGCUNAGGAGCGAAAGCGUGGGGAGCGAACAGGAUUAGAUACCCUGGUAGUCCACGCUGUAAACGUUGGGCGCUAGGUGUGGNGGGCCUCUCCGGUUCUCUGUGCCGCAGCUAACGCAUUAAGCGCCCCGCCUGGGGAGUACGGCCGCAAGGCUAAAACUCAAAGGAAUUGACGGGGGCCCGCACAAGCGGCGGAGCAUGCGGAUUAAUUCGAUGCAACGCGNAAGAACCUUACCUGGGUUUGACAUGGCCGCAAAACCGGC